Long non-coding RNA from Echinops telfairi (small Madagascar hedgehog), 220 nucleotides. RefSeq lists it as uncharacterized. Lineage: Eukaryota; Metazoa; Chordata; Mammalia; Afrosoricida; Tenrecidae. The transcript is spliced from 3 exons. The record is from RefSeq and is a predicted model, not a curated record.
UUGCUUAUUAUAGAUAUCACUAUCACGGCCUAAUGCUGUAACCAAUCAAGUUUUCCAAGCAAGGAAUAAGGAUUUGAAAAUGAUCUUUAGAAAAUUGGAUCAUGGACUGCUUGGGCUUUGAAAGUGUGCAGUGGAAUUUUAGUCAGAUGAGCUACCUUGAAACAGAGUUAUGAGAAGAGGCUCAGAACAGGACACUGGGAGUAGCCACCAUCAGCAUGAG